RNAcentral lists this ribosomal RNA (254 nucleotides) under uncultured bacterium. Its description in RNAcentral is "partial small subunit ribosomal RNA". It matches the Rfam family "Bacterial small subunit ribosomal RNA", at positions 26 to 285 of the family's 1533-position model. The record is from RNAcentral.
AGGACGAACGCUGGCGGCGUGCUUAACACAUGCAAGUCGAGCGGAAAGGCCCUUCGGGGUACUCGAGCGGCGAACGGGUGAGUAACACGUGAGCAAUCUGCCUCUAGCUCUGGGAUAGCUCCGGGAAACCGGGAUUAAUACCGGAUAGGACCACUUUAGACAUCUGUUGUGGUGGAAAGAAUUUCGGCUAGAGAUGAGCUCGCGGCCUAUCAGCUUGUUGGUGGGGUAAUGGCCUACCAAGGCGACGACGGGUA